This 234-nucleotide ribosomal RNA is filed under the name Flagellimonas taeanensis. RNAcentral describes it as "Allomuricauda taeanensis partial 16S rRNA. Bacterial SSU". It matches the Rfam family "Bacterial small subunit ribosomal RNA", at positions 1 to 234 of the family's 1533-position model. Lineage: Bacteria; Pseudomonadati; Bacteroidota; Flavobacteriia; Flavobacteriales; Flavobacteriaceae. The record is from RNAcentral.
AGACAAUGAAGAGUUUGAUCCUGGCUCAGGAUGAACGCUAGCGGCAGGCCUAACACAUGCAAGUCGAGGGGUAGGGGGUGCUUGCACCCCUGAGACCGGCGCACGGGUGCGGAACGCGUAUGGAACCUGCCCCUGUCAGGGGAAUAGCCCAGGGAAACUUGGAUUAAUGCCCCAUGGUAUCAUUACAUCGCAUGAUGUUAUGAUUAAAGAUUUAUCGGACAGGGAUGGCCAUGC